GACGAACGCUGGCGGCGUGCCUAAUACAUGCAAGUUGAGCGCUGAAGGUUGGUACUUGUACCAACUGGAUGAGCAGCGAACGGGUGAGUAACGCGUGGGGAAUCUGCCUUUGAGCGGGGGACAACAUUUGGAAACGAAUGCUAAUACCGCAUAAAAACUUUAAACACAAGUUUCAAGAUUGAAAGAUGCAAUUGCAUCACUCAAAGAUGAUCUCGCGUUGUAUUAGCUAGUUGGUGAGGUAAAGGCCCACCAAGGCGAUGAUACAUAGCCGACCUGAGAGGGGGAUCCGGCACAUUGGGACUGAGACCCGGCCCAAACUCCUACGGGGAGCAGCAGUAGGGAAACUUCGGCAAUGGACGAAAGUCUGACCGAGCAACGCCGCGUGAGUGAAGAAGGUUUUCGGGUCGUAAAACUCUGGUGGUAGGGAAGAACGUUGGGGGGAGUGGAAAGCGCACCAAGUGACGGUAACUACCCAGAAAGGGACGGCUAACUACGUG
This 497-nucleotide ribosomal RNA is filed under the name uncultured bacterium. Its description in RNAcentral is "partial 16S ribosomal RNA". It matches the Rfam family "Bacterial small subunit ribosomal RNA", at positions 28 to 507 of the family's 1533-position model. The record is from RNAcentral.